Molecule: ribosomal RNA, 210 nt
Filed under: Paenibacillus polymyxa
Lineage: Bacteria; Bacillati; Bacillota; Bacilli; Caryophanales; Paenibacillaceae
Description: partial 16S ribosomal RNA
Rfam family: Bacterial small subunit ribosomal RNA
Source: RNAcentral
GGCGUAAAGCGCGCGCAGGCGGCUCUUUAAGUCUGGUGUUUAAUCCCGAGGCUCAACUUCGGGUCGCACUGGAAACUGGGGAGCUUGAGUGCACCUUAGGAGAGUGGAAUUCCACGUGUAGCGGUGAAAUGCGUAGAGAUGUGGAGGAACGCCGGUGGCGAAUGCGACUCUCUGGUCUGUAACUGACGCUGAGGCGCGAAAGAGUGGGGA